This 102-nucleotide small nuclear RNA is filed under the name Moschus moschiferus (Siberian musk deer). The record is from RNAcentral. Lineage: Eukaryota; Metazoa; Chordata; Mammalia; Artiodactyla; Moschidae.
GAGCAACUGAACUGAACUGAUACUAAAAUUGGAAUGAUACAGAGAUUAGCAUGGCCCCUGCGCAUGGAUGACACACAAAUUUGUGAAGCAUUCCGUAGUUUU